RNAcentral lists this long non-coding RNA (532 nucleotides) under Ananas comosus (pineapple). Its description in RNAcentral is "long non-coding RNA (ACOM_LNC032487)". The record is from RNAcentral. Lineage: Eukaryota; Viridiplantae; Streptophyta; Magnoliopsida; Poales; Bromeliaceae.
UCACCGUGUCCAAUACAACUACCCACCCUUAGCCCUUUUUUUGGCGUCAAAAAUCAAAUCAAAAUACAUUUCACAACAUCAGCAUAUUUUUGGAGCAAAAAAUAAAAUCAAUACACAUCACAACAUCACAACAUAACAAUACAAUACAAAUACCUAAACGCAACAGUACAAUACAACAUCACAGCAUCACAACACAACAGUACAAUAUAUACAUCACUACCAACAGAUACUCAAUAAAUUAUCAAUACAAGAUAAUCGCAACAGAAUAUCCAAAAUUAAAGCAAGUUUUGCAAAAAUAUAGAAAUAUAAUAUCACAUUCUCCUCCUAUCCCCUCGACCACGUCGCCUACCACGUCCACGACCACGAUCAACACCAUGCUCAUCAAAAGGCUCUAAGAUCUACAACUGGUCCAGAUGCUCGAUAGCAGCACCCUCAAUAACCGGCUCAAUCACAGCAGUAGCAGGUGUCGGUCGUAUGUUUGGCCAUGGAGGAGCUGAAGAGGAGGGCUGAUCUGUAUGGAUAGACCUCAUAU